This 440-nucleotide ribosomal RNA is filed under the name uncultured bacterium. RNAcentral's name for it is "bacterial SSU rRNA". It matches the Rfam family "Bacterial small subunit ribosomal RNA", at positions 958 to 1398 of the family's 1533-position model. The record is from RNAcentral.
AACGCGAAGAACCUUACCUGGGCUCGAAAUGGAGUGGACCGGAGUAGAAAUAUUCCUUCCCCGCAAGGGGCCGCUCUAUAGGUGCUGCAUGGCUGUCGUCAGCUCGUGUCGUGAGAUGUUGGGUUAAGUCCCGCAACGAGCGCAACCCUUAUUACCAGUUGCCAUCAUUAAGUUGGGCACUCAGGUGAGACCGCCUCGGAUAACGGGGAGGAAGGCGGGGAUGACGUCAAGUCAUCAUGGCCUUUAUGUCCAGGGCUACACACGUGCUACAAUGGCCGGUACAAAGCGCUGCAAACCCGCGAGGGGAAGCUAAUCGCAAAAAACCGGUCUCAGUUCGGAUCGCAGGCUGCAACUCGCCUGCGUGAAGCUGGAAUCGCUAGUAAUGGCGUAUCAGAACGAUGCCGUGAAUACGUUCCCGGGCCUUGUACACACCGAGUAUA